RNAcentral lists this unclassified non-coding RNA (260 nucleotides) under Glomeromycetes sp. RNAcentral's name for it is "partial contains 5.8S ribosomal RNA and internal transcribed spacer 2". The stretch from base 1 to 71 matches the Rfam family "5.8S ribosomal RNA", at positions 84 to 154 of the family's 154-position model. The record is from RNAcentral. Lineage: Eukaryota; Fungi; Glomeromycota; Glomeromycetes.
GUGAAUCAUCGAAUUUUUGAACGCAUAUUGCACUCUCUGGUAUUCCGUAGAGUAUGCCUGUUUGAGGGUAAUUAAAAAGAAUCUUUAACCAAUUUUUUUUGGUCAAAGGAAAUGAGCUCUCCGCGGUUAUAGCGGUAACUUAAAAUAAGUGGUCAAGUCUCAUUUUAGUCGAGACGCAUAGUGAUAUUGUGGCGCGAAAUCUUCAGUAUGUGACUGUCAAAUUUUGAUGCAUACAAAUGUGCUUUGUAGGCGAUCAAGAC